RNAcentral lists this long non-coding RNA (219 nucleotides) under Ananas comosus (pineapple). Its description in RNAcentral is "long non-coding RNA (ACOM_LNC027003)". The record is from RNAcentral. Lineage: Eukaryota; Viridiplantae; Streptophyta; Magnoliopsida; Poales; Bromeliaceae.
AUAGAACUCCCAGAAAUCAAAAGCAUUAUAGGAUACUAUAUACUUUCCUGAUCCUAUAGUAAAUACUAGUGUAGUAACCCAUGCAAUACGAUGGGUAGAUAAUUGAAAAAAAAAGAAAGCAGUGACAAAAGAAGAGAAAACGACAAUGAAAAAAACGACGAUGAGGGGUAGGAUUCAUCUUAUUGAUAAAGGAAGGUAACAGUAGAGGAAGAGAAACAG